RNAcentral lists this ribosomal RNA (457 nucleotides) under Granulicatella adiacens. RNAcentral describes it as "bacterial SSU rRNA". It matches the Rfam family "Bacterial small subunit ribosomal RNA", at positions 28 to 474 of the family's 1533-position model. Lineage: Bacteria; Bacillati; Bacillota; Bacilli; Lactobacillales; Carnobacteriaceae. The record is from RNAcentral.
GACGAACGCUGGCGGCGUGCCUAAUACAUGCAAGUCGAACGAGAGCGACCGGUGCUUGCACUGGUCAAUCUAGUGGCGAACGGGUGAGUAACACGUGGGUAACCUGCCCAUCAGAGGGGGAUAACAUCCGGAAACGGAUGCUAAAACCGCAUAGGUCUUCGAACCGCAUGGUUUGAAGAGGAAAAGAGGCGCAAGCUUCUGCUGAUGGAUGGACCCGCGGUGCAUUAGCUAGUUGGUGAGGUAACGGCUCACCAAGGCCGUGAUGCAUAGCCGACCUGAGAGGGUGAUCGGCCACAUUGGGACUGAGACACGGCCCAAACUCCUACGGGAGGCAGCAGUAGGGAAUCUUCCGCAAUGGACGCAAGUCUGACGGAGCAACGCCGCGUGAGUGAAGAAGGUUUUCGGAUCGUAAAACUCUGUUGUUAGAGAAGAACAAGUGCUAGAGUAACUGUUAGCG